UGAUCCUGCCGGACCCCACUGCUAUCGGGAUAGGACUAAGACAUGCUAGUCGAGCGCCUUCCAGCCACGACGGAGGCGCGGCGCACAGCUCAGUAACACGUGGCUAACCUGCCCUUGGGACAGAGACACCCCCGGGAAACUGGGGCUAAUCCCUGAUAGGUGAAGAACUCUGGAAUGAGUCUUCACCCAAAAGACGCCUAGGCCACGCUUCUAGGCGUCGCCCAAGGAUGGGGCCGCGACCGAUCAGGUUGUUGGUGAGGUAACGGCCUACCAAGCCUUUUACCGGUACGGGCCGUGAGAGCGGGAGCCCGGAGAUGGGCACUGAGACAAGAACCCAGGCCCUACGGGCCGCAGCAGUCGCGAAAACUUCGCAAUAAGCGAAAGCUUUACGAGUUCAUCCCGAGUGCCGCCUGCUGAAGAUGGCUUUUACCUAGUGUAGAUAGCUGGGAGAAUAAGGGGAGGGCAAGUCUGGUGUCAGCCGCCGCGGUAAUACCAACUCUCCGAGUGGUGGGGAUGAUUAUUGGGCCUAAAGCAUCCGUAGCCGGCUGGACAAGUCCCCUGUUAAAUCCAACGAUCCAAUCGUUGGUCUGCGGGGGAUACUGUCUGGCUAGGGGGCGGGAGAGGCCGUCGGUAUUUCCGGGGUAGGGGUGAAAUCCUAUAAUCCCGGGAGGACCACCAGUGGCGAAGGCUGUCGGCUAGAACGCGCCCGACGGUGAGGGAUGAAAGCUGGGGGAGCGAACCGGAUUAGAUACCCGGGUAGUCCCAGCUGUAAACGAUGCAGGCUAGGUGUUAGGGCGGCUACGUGCCGCUCUAGUGCCGCAGGGAAGCUGUUAAGCCUGCCGCCUGGGGAGUACGGCCGCAAGGCUGAAACUUAAAGGAAUUGGCGGGAAGGGCGAAUUC
Molecule: ribosomal RNA, 900 nt
Filed under: uncultured archaeon
Lineage: Archaea
Description: bacterial SSU rRNA
Rfam family: Archaeal small subunit ribosomal RNA
Source: RNAcentral